This 207-nucleotide non-coding RNA is filed under the name Eubacterium limosum. RNAcentral describes it as "T-box sequence". It matches the Rfam family "T-box leader". Rfam says of the family: Uncharged tRNA acts as the effector for transcription antitermination of genes in the T-box leader family. T-boxes are found upstream of many aminoacyl-tRNA synthetase genes and some amino acid biosynthetic genes usually in Gram-positive bacteria. Lineage: Bacteria; Bacillati; Bacillota; Clostridia; Eubacteriales; Eubacteriaceae. The record is from RNAcentral.
UUAAAGAUGAUGACUGGGAAGAGUAAGUUAAAUGAAGGUUACAGAGAGCAGGCAUGGUGCUGGAAUUGCCGCAGCCGGUCCUUAACUGAAGACCAUCCCACGAGUUGGCUGUCAAAUGCAGUACCGGAGCACUGUCCGUUAUCAGUAUCAGAGUGGGUAUACCAUGUAUACCAAUUUGGGUGGAACCGCGUAAUAAACGUCCCAUUG